ACGUGGAAGGUUACCGUGAGAAAGUUAGCGAUAUGACCUCAGAAAUGAUCACGUUUCUUUCAUUCAAGACUUCUAAAGGCAAAACCUCUCAGCCUAUCGUUAAAAAACCUGGGGUUAAGUUUGUGCUACAUGGUGGAAAAAUCGUUGGGUUUCAUGGACGUUCGACCGACGUUCUACAUUCCCUAGGGGCCUAUGUUUCUUUGCCGUCCACUCCCAAAUUGCUUGGAAACUGGAUUAAGGUAGUAAUCACUUAGACCAACAUACAAAGAUCUCCCACAACUAUGUAUAUUGAAGGUUUUGUUUGUUAGCACCAAAAAUACUAAACCACGGACGCGAAAGAAAAAAAAAGAGAGGGAAAAAUUGGAAUUUAGAUAAUUAAUGACAGUUUUGCAAUUUAUAAUUUGAUUAAUUUUAUUUUACAAUUAUGGAAAUUUACUAAUCAGAAUAUAAAUCCUUUUAAAAAUAGCUAACAAAUAUUACUAAUUAAUUAUAAGGUGGAGCAAAAUGGAGAAGGCCCAGGGCUAAGAUGCUCACAUGGCAUAGCUCAAGUAGGCAACAAGAUUUACUCUUUUGGUGGUGAGCUCAUACCAAAUCAGCCCAUCGAUAAACACCUUUACGUCUUUGACCUCGAGACCCGGACUUGGUCCAUUGCUCCAGCCACCGGAGACGUUCCACACCUCUCUUGCUUAGGUGUCCGUAUGGUGUCAGUAGGAUCGACCCUCUAUACCUUUGGAGGCCGAGACUUUUCACGCCAAUACAACGGUUUCUACUCGUUUGACACGACAACAAACGAGUGGAAACUGCUAACUCCGGUGGAAGAAGGACCCACUCCUCGUAGUUUCCAUUCGAUGGCAGCGGAUGAGGAAAACGUUUACGUUUUCGGUGGAGUGGGUGCUAUGGAUCGAAUCAAGACACUAGACUCUUACAAUAUCGUUGACAAGACGUGGUUUCAUUGUUCGAAUCCAGGAGAUUCCUUUAGCAUAAGAGGAGGAGCAGGGCUCGAAGUGGUGCAAGGGAAAGUAUGGAUUGUGUAUGGAUUUAACGGAUGUGAAGUAGAUGAUGUUCAUUUCUACGAUCCUGCUGAAGACAAAUGGACACAAGUGGAAACAUUCGGUGUGAAGCCUAACGAAAGGAGUGUUUUCGCUAGUGCGGCUAUUGGGAAACACAUUGUGAUAUUUGGAGGUGAGAUUGCGAUGGAUCCACGAGCUCACGUAGGUCCGGGUCAAUUAAUCGAUGGGACUUUCGCGUUGGAUACAGAGACGUUGCAAUGGGAGAGGUUAGAUAAGUUUGAGGGGACUCCGAGUAGCAGAGGAUGGACCGCGUCCACGACUGGAACCAUUGAUGGUAAGAAAGGACUUGUGAUGCAUGGUGGUAAAGCUCCAACCAAUGACCGGUUUGAUGACCUCUUCUUUUACGGAAUUGACUCUGUCUGAUUAAGCGCGAUUUGAUCAUGACCGUUUGUGUUUUAUUUGUUUGUGUGUCUGUGUGUCUGUGUGAUGCAAUAAGGGAGGGAUCGUGAUACCUCUAUAUGAUCCUUCGUCAGCUUAUCCAUUUUAUUUUUUAUUUUCUAAAUGUAUCUUUUUGUUUUUUGUUUUCUGUUUUGUAUGUUUAAUGUUUCGUGGCUUGUUCAAUAAGAUGUUUAUUUUCCGAAUUUUUUUUGGGUAUGUUACGUUAUACUACAAACAAAAAUAUUAUGAUUUUGAUUUUCUCUAAAGAUGAAAUGAAUAGAACAAGAAGUCAGCAGAUAGGGUGGUUUCAUCUACUUUUGUGGUUGGUAAAUGUGGUUAGAAAAAUUUGCAUUGAAUUGUAAGUUUCUAUCCAUAAAAGAAACAAAAAAUUAAUGUAAUCAAGAGUGGAAAGUUACCAAUGGAUUAUAAAAAUCUUGCAAUUCUAAUAAAUCCUCAUGUCAACGGUACAGAUAAGAUAAGGGUAAGGGGCAAACAAUCUUGUUGGUUCAAAUGGCAAGUAAACAAGGGCAAUUAUAUCCACCUAAUCCAUUGCGUUUUCUUUCUCUAAUCUUAGAAUCUACUUUAAUUGUAUGUUUUUCUCUUUCAUCUACUUUCCAAAACUAUAUAACCUCAUUUCUAUACUUUUUAUGCAUUUAUUUUGAAACCCCUUUAUCAAAAAAAAAAAAGGGGCCAAUUUUUCUUCAAAAAUGGUUACUUUAAGAUUCUCAUAUACAGUGUGCCAAAAAAAAAAAAGGUACCUAAAAUAUUUAUUAUUUCAGAUAUUGGUCAACAUAUUAUCUGUAACAGAAAAAUGUUCACGUGAUAUUUGCGAAUCACAUUUUUCUAGGGGCAAAAGUGAUAUAUGAGAAUCUUAAAGUAACCUUUUCUAGAAUAAUUGCCCUUGUUUACUUGCCACUGUAGUCAUUUAUUUAAUUUAUGUUCAAAAACAGAUUACCUACCUAAUUCACCGAAACGAAAAAUUUUGUUGCCAGUUUUUGUUUUUUUUAAUUUUUUUUUUCCUCUUUUUAGUUUACCUUCUCUUUUUUCUGUUCAACAUUAAACUAGAAGGUAGAGUAAUAAAUAACGAUGGAUGGAUGUGUUGAAAACGCGCUUUAUGCAUGAUUCAUACGAGAGCAGCUGAGGAGGAGACAAAAAACGGGUCUACACUAUAUCAGACUUUUUUUUGUUUUUUUGGUGUAAAACUAUAUCAGAUGGAAAAAUAUCAACCAAAUAAUGUAGAAACUAUAUCAAACUUUUAACAAAACUAUCAACCCAAUAUUUUAUAUUUUAUUAAAAAACAAUACUAAUAAUUUUUCCUUUUCCUCGUUUUUUUUUUUCUGAUCAACCAUUCACACGUUGUUUUUCGUAAUUAUGAUUCUGCAUAAUGCUUUCUCUAAAUCAAAAACUCCACGCCACGGUUCAACUGAUGUAGUGCCUCCACCGUUGUCGUUUGACUCGUUGCAGAGGACACCAUUAUGCACUUCGAUUCAUUUUCAAAAUCGUCUUUCUCUACUGAAUUGUUACUCCAUUUAAUUUUUUGGUCCAUAGAUAACAUAGACCAUUAUACUAGUAUGUUAAAUGUAUACUUAUCAGUUACCGCACAACAUUAAUUCUUAAAGAGGGUUCAUUUUCGAGAAUUGAGUACAACACUACCAUUAGGCCAAAAUGCGAGAGGCAAAAAAAGAUAUAGCAUAUACUUAUCAUGAAUAAUGAAAAUCUUUUCCAUCCAAAUAAAAAUCUUUCUUCUCAUAAAAGAAAGAAGAGAAAAAACAAUGAGUUUGCAUAUCUUUAUCCUGUAGAAUGAUAAUCUUCCCCAUCAACUACUGUAGAUCGUCAACGUGUACUCACUUCCAUUAUCGAUCGAAUCAUCAAUUUAAUGCCUCGUGAAUCACGAGAUCAUAUAAUAUGACAAGAAAUUCGUCCCGUUUAUCUACUGCUGGUCAAUAAAUACUCAUGCAAUUCCCACCAAUAGAUCACUCAACCAAUUUCUUCUCAGGUUCUCUCUUCACACCUCUCCCCUUCUCUAUGAUUAUAGAUAGUAUAUGAUUUGGUUAAAUUAUCUAUAUUUCUUUUUUGAUAAAGGAUUUGGUUAAAUUUUUAAUUGCAGGUAAUACUCGUAAGAUUUAUCAACACAAGCAAAAAAGAUGGCCCAAAAGCUAGAAGCAAAGGGUGGUGAGAUGGGAGAUGUAUGGGAUGAUGGUGUUUACGAAAAUGUUAGAAAGGUAUAUGUAGGGCAAGCACAAUACGGUAUAGCCUUCGUCAAGUUUGAGUAUGUCAAUGGUUCUCAAGUGGUUGUUGGAGAUGAACAUGGAAAGAAGACAGAGCUAGGAGUUGAAGAGGUACUAAAAUAGAUUUUUUUUUUUUUUUUUUUUUUUUUUUUUUUUUAGUCAAAAGGUACUAAAAUAGAUUUAUAUGUUGUGAUUGAUCAAGAGGUAGGGUCUUUUUUUUUUUUGUUGCUUUCCGCAUUGAAAAUUGCUUGGUUUCUUUGCAGUUUGAGAUUGAUGCGGAUGACUACAUCGUAUACGUGGAAGGUUACCGUGAGAAAGUUAACGAUAUGACGUCAGAAAUGAUCACGUUUCUUUCUAUUAAGACUUUUAAAGGCAAAACCUCUCAUCCUAUCGAAAAAAGACCUGGGGUUAAGUUUGUGCUACAUGGUGGAAAAAUCGUUGGGUUUCACGGACGUUCAACAGAUGUUUUACACUCCCUUGGGGCCUAUGUUUCUUUGUCAU
This 4177-nucleotide long non-coding RNA is filed under the name Arabidopsis thaliana (thale cress). Its description in RNAcentral is "long non-coding RNA (ATHA_LNC000097)". The record is from RNAcentral. Lineage: Eukaryota; Viridiplantae; Streptophyta; Magnoliopsida; Brassicales; Brassicaceae.